RNAcentral lists this unclassified non-coding RNA (416 nucleotides) under soil metagenome. RNAcentral's name for it is "partial contains 5.8S ribosomal RNA, internal transcribed spacer 2, and large subunit ribosomal RNA". The stretch from base 1 to 120 matches the Rfam family "5.8S ribosomal RNA", at positions 35 to 154 of the family's 154-position model. The record is from RNAcentral.
GAUGAAGAACGCAGCGAAAUGCGAUAAGUAAUGUGAAUUGCAGAAUUCAGUGAAUCAUCGAAUCUUUGAACGCACCUUGCACUCCUUGGUAUUCCGAGGAGUACGCCUGUUCGAGUGUUAUGAAGCUCUCAAAACGCAAUUGGCUUAAAACCUGAUUGUUAUUUUGGAUUUGAACUUUGCCGUGUUAUAACGGCUGGUUUUAAAAGUAUUAGCUGGUACUAGAACGAAUUGGUUCUACUCAACGUGAUAAUUAUCUGAUCGUUGAGGACAUUCCUUUCACGAGGAAUGGCCAUAGUAAAUUCAAUGGACUGCUUCUAAUCUGGCUUUAAUUCUUUAUUGGAUUAACCACUUUUCAAAUCUGACCUCGAAUCAGGUGGGACUACCCGCUGAACUUAAGCAUAUCAAUAAGCGGAGGA